RNAcentral lists this ribosomal RNA (849 nucleotides) under uncultured bacterium. RNAcentral's name for it is "bacterial SSU rRNA". It matches the Rfam family "Bacterial small subunit ribosomal RNA", at positions 54 to 887 of the family's 1533-position model. The record is from RNAcentral.
CAUGCAAGUCGGACGGUAACAGGAGAGAAGCUUGCUUUUCUUGCUGACGAGUGGCGGACGGGUGAGUAACGCGUGGGAAUCUACCCUUUAGUUGGGGACAACAUAUGGAAACGUAUGCUAAUACCGAAUAUGCUCUACGGAGUAAAGGUGCCCUCUCCUUGGAAGGUAUCGCUAAAGGAUGAGCCCGCGUUAGAUUAGCUAGUUGGUAGGGUAAAGGCCUACCAAGGCGACGAUCUAUAGCUGGUUUGAGAGGAUGAUCAGCCACACUGGGACUGAGACACGGCCCAGACUCCUACGGGAGGCAGCAGUGGGGAAUAUUGCACAAUGAGGGAAACCUUGAUGCAGCCAUGCCGCGUGUGUGAAGAAGGCCCGAGGGUUGUAAAGCACUUUCAAUUGUGAGGAAGAUUAAGUAGCUAAUACCUGCUUAGUUUGACGUUAACUUUAGAAGAAGCACCGGCUAACUCUGUGCCAGCAGCCGCGGUAAUACAGAGGGUGCAAGCGUUAUUCGGAAUUACUGGGCGUAAAGCGCGCGUAGGCGGACUGUUAAGUCGGUUGUGAAAGCCCUGGGCUCAACCUAGGAACUGCAUCCGAUACUGGCAAUCUAGAGUUUAAGAGAGGGAAGUGGAAUUCCAGGUGUAGCAGUGAAAUGCGUAGAUAUCUGGAGGAACAUCAGUGGCGAAGGCGACUUCCUGGCUUAAAACUGACGCUGAGGUGCGAAAGCUUGGGUAGCGAACGGGAUUAGAUACCCCGGUAGUCCAAGCCGUAAACGAUGUCAACUAGCUGUUGGUCUUAUUAAAAAGAUUAGUAGCGCAGCUAACGCGAUAAGUUGACCGCCUGGGGAGUACGGUC